AAGUCGUAACAAGGUUUUGCGGAGCAACAGAUCCUUCUGUAGCAGAGCUCGCGGAGACCAGGCACAGCGACUAUAAAUAAUGCGUCAGUCAGUAAUGGCAACACAAUCGAAUUGCGGGGACGCCAUAACGCUCACCGGUACCAACUGCCUGCGGCAACGUAGGCAGGGCUGGCUCUGCCAGAGGUCAUAACCCGGGGAGAUGCACCAAUUGGCAAUCUGCAGCGAAACCCGUUCUACGGGCUCGUUCACAGACUAAGUGAUUGUGGGCGGGGCUUUGAGCCCUGCUUAAGAUAUAGUCGGACCCGUGCGAGAGCGCUGGGAGUUCUGCAGAACGAAUCGUCCGUAGGUGAACCUGCGGAAGGAUCAUUAGAGAAGGCGACCCCUUAAGUGCGGGCGCCACCGAGCUUUGGCGGGGCGGGCGUAAAACCCCACCCCGCCGGGCACACUCUCACCCUGUGUUAACGUACCUUUGUUGCUUUGGCAGGCCGCGGCCUCCGCUGUGGGCGUCUGCUCACACGUGCCUGCCAGAGAACCCAACUCUUGAUUUUAGUGAUGUCUGAGUACUAUUAAAUAGUUAAAACUUUCAACAACGGAUCUCUUGGNUCUGGCAUCGAUGAAGAACGCAGCGAAAUGCGAUGAGUAAUGUGAAUUGCAGAAUUCAGUGAAUCAUCGAAUCUUUGAACGCACAUUGCGCCCGCUGGNAUUCCGGCGGGNAUGCCUGUUCGAGCGUCNUNUGACCANUCANNCUCNNNNGNCUGGGGUCGCUAGCCGGCGGCCCUUAAACGCAGUGGCGGUGCCGUGCGGCUCUCAGCGUAGUAAUUUAUCUCGCUACAGGGUCCGGACGGUGCUGGCCAGCAACCCCAACUAUACUAGGUUGACCUCGGAUCAGGUAGGGAUACCCGCUGAACUUAAGCAUAUCAAUAAGCGGAGGAAAAGAAACCAACAGGGAUUACCUCAGUAACGGCGAGUGAAGCGGUAACAGCUCAAAUUUGAAAUCUGGCUCUUUCAGGGUCCGAGUUGUAAUUUGUAGAAGAUGCUUCGAGUGUGGUCCCGGUCUAAGUUCCUUGGAACAGGACGUCAUAGAGGGUGAGAAUCCCGUAUGUGACUGGGUGCCUUCGCUCAUGUGAAGCUCUUUCGACGAGUCGAGUUGUUUGGGAAUGCAGCUCAAAAUGGGUGGUAAAUUUCAUCUAAAGCUAAAUAUUGGCCAGAGACCGAUAGCGCACAAGUAGAGUGAUCGAAAGAUGAAAAGCACUUUGGAAAGAGAGUUAAACAGUACGUGAAAUUGUUGAAAGGGAAGCGCUUGCAAUCAGACUUGCCCGCCGUCGAUCAUCCGGGGUUCUCUCCGGUGCACUCGGCGGCGUUCAGGCCAGCAUCGGUUUCGAGGGUGGGAUAAAGGCCUUGGGAAUGUAGCUUCUUUCGGGGAGUGUUAUAGCCCUCGGUGCAAUGCCGCCUCUCGGGACCGAGGACCGCGCUUCGGCUAGGAUGCUGGCGUAAUGGUUGUAAGCGACC
This 1509-nucleotide ribosomal RNA is filed under the name uncultured fungus. RNAcentral describes it as "eukaryotic LSU rRNA". The stretch from base 876 to 1509 matches the Rfam family "Eukaryotic large subunit ribosomal RNA", at positions 1 to 649 of the family's 3401-position model. The record is from RNAcentral. Lineage: Eukaryota; Fungi.